Molecule: ribosomal RNA, 451 nt
Filed under: uncultured bacterium
Lineage: Bacteria
Description: partial 16S ribosomal RNA
Rfam family: Bacterial small subunit ribosomal RNA
Source: RNAcentral
GAUGAACGCUGGCGGCGUGUCUAACACAUGCAAGUCGAGCGGCAGCGAGGGGUGCUUGCACCCUGUCGGCGAGCGGCGGACGGCUGAGUAACGCGUGGGAACGUGCCCCAAAGUGAGGAAUAACUGCCCGAAAGGGUAGCUAAUACCGCAUAUUAUCUUCGGAUCAAAGGAUUUAUCCGCUUUGGGAGCGGCUCGCGUCGGAUUAGGUAGUUGGUGAGGUAAUGGCUCACCAAGCCGACGAUCCGUAGCUGGUCUGAGAGGAUGACCAGCCAGACUGGAACUGAGACACGGUCCAGACUCCUACGGGAGGCAGCAGUGAGGAAUCUUCCACAAUGGGCGAAAGCCUGAUGGAGCAACGCCGCGUGCAGGACGAAGGCCUUCGGGUUGUAAACUGCUUUUAUAAGUGAGGAAUAUGACGGUAACUUAUGAAUAAGGAUCGGCUAACUACGUG